UACGAAGGGGGCUAGCGUUGUUCGGAUUUACUGGGCGUAAAGCGCACGUAGGCGGCUCGUUAAGUCGAGGGUGAAAUCCUGGAGCUCAACUCCAGAACUGCCUUCGAUACUGGCGAUCUUGAGUCCGGAAGAGGUGAGUGGAACUCCUAGUGUAGAGGUGGAAUUCGUAGAUAUUAGGAAGAACACCAGUGGCGAAGGCGGCUCACUGGUCCGGUACUGACGCUGAGGUGCGAAAGCGUGGGGAGCAAACAGG
This 253-nucleotide ribosomal RNA is filed under the name uncultured bacterium. Its description in RNAcentral is "partial 16S ribosomal RNA". It matches the Rfam family "Bacterial small subunit ribosomal RNA", at positions 524 to 776 of the family's 1533-position model. The record is from RNAcentral.